GGUGGCUAGGUGGUAGAGCACUUGCCUUGCAUGCAUGAGACCCUGGGUUCGAUUCCUCAGCACCA
This is a non-coding RNA of Dipodomys ordii (Ord's kangaroo rat), 65 nucleotides long. The record is from Rfam. Lineage: Eukaryota; Metazoa; Chordata; Mammalia; Rodentia; Heteromyidae.